This 472-nucleotide long non-coding RNA is filed under the name Rattus norvegicus (Norway rat). RNAcentral describes it as "long non-coding RNA NONRATT031287". Lineage: Eukaryota; Metazoa; Chordata; Mammalia; Rodentia; Muridae. The record is from RNAcentral.
CCUAAGGAACUGCUGUUGUAAGCGGCUCACCAAGAGUUGAAGUUCAUGUAGCCUUGUUGGGAAUAUGGAAAAGGAAGAAAGCCACAGGACUGCCAGUUCAGUCGGGAAGAUCUCGAUGAUUCUGCACAUGCACAAAUGACUUGAAGUUUCUGUAUAGACACUUGUACCAAUCCAUCUUCAGCUGACUGAAUGUUGUAUGAUAGCCCUUCUCCAAAGCAGAGGUGGAAGGUUCUGGUUUCACCACACAUUUAUAAACACAUUUCCUUUUUUGAAUUGGCCUAUAGAUUGUAGGUCUCUUUUGUAUAUAACCUCUAUUCUUUUGCUUUAAAAAAAAAAGUCUGUUCAUAUUUAAUGCCCUGUAUUAGUCAAUGAUUUGUGUUCAACAUUAUUUGAACCAUUUGCCAUUAACGAAAGAGAAAUACUUAUUUGUGUUUUAAAUAAAACUGAUAUAGGAAAAAAAAUAAAAAAAGAA